This 301-nucleotide ribosomal RNA is filed under the name uncultured bacterium. RNAcentral's name for it is "partial 16S ribosomal RNA". It matches the Rfam family "Bacterial small subunit ribosomal RNA", at positions 509 to 807 of the family's 1533-position model. The record is from RNAcentral.
CAGCAGCCACGGUAACACGAGGGGGGCAAGCGUUGUUCGGAAUUAUUGGGCGUAAAGGGUGCGUAGGCGGUCUGAUAAGUCUUAUGUGAAAUCUCUGGGCUCAACCCAGAGUCUGCAUGGGAAACUGUCAGGCUUGAGAAUGGGAGAGGUGAGUGGAAUUUCCGGUGUAGCGGUGAAAUGCGUAGAUAUCGGAAGGAACACCUGUGGCGAAAGCGGCUCACUGGACCAUUUCUGACGCUGAUGCACGAAAGCUAGGGGAGCAAACAGGAUUAGAUACCCCCGUAGUCCCUGUCUCUUAUAC